UACGUAGGGUGCGAGCGGUAAUCGGAUUUACUGGGCGUAAAGCGUGCGCAGGCGGCCCGUUAAGACAGGUGUGAAAUCCCUGGGCUCAACCUAGGAAUUGCGCUUGUGACUGGCGGGCUCGAGUACGGUAGAGGGGGGUGGAAUUCCUGGUGUAGCAGUGAAAUGCGUAGAGAUCAGGAGGAACACCGAUGGCGAAGGCAGCCCCCUGGGCCUGUACUGACGCUCAUGCACGCAAGCGUGGGGAGCAAACAGG
This 253-nucleotide ribosomal RNA is filed under the name uncultured microorganism. RNAcentral's name for it is "partial 16S ribosomal RNA". It matches the Rfam family "Bacterial small subunit ribosomal RNA", at positions 524 to 776 of the family's 1533-position model. The record is from RNAcentral.